UACGUAGGGUGCGAGCGUUGUCCGGAAUUAUUGGGCGUAAAGAGCUUGUAGGCGGUUUGUCGCGUCUGCUGUGAAAAUCCGGGGCUCAACCCCGGACUUGCAGUGGGUACGGGCAGACUAGAGUGUGGUAGGGGAGACUGGAAUUCCUGGUGUAGCGGUGGAAUGCGCAGAUAUCAGGAGGAACACCGAUGGCGAAGGCAGAUCUCUGGGCCGUAACUGACGCUGAGGAGCGAAAGCGUGGGGAGCGAACAGG
This 253-nucleotide ribosomal RNA is filed under the name uncultured bacterium. RNAcentral describes it as "partial 16S ribosomal RNA". It matches the Rfam family "Bacterial small subunit ribosomal RNA", at positions 524 to 776 of the family's 1533-position model. The record is from RNAcentral.